CCUACGGGCGACAGCAGUAGGGAAUCUUUCACAAUGGGCGAAAGCCUGAUGGAGCAACGCCGCGUGCAGGAUGAAGGCCUUCGGGUUGUAAACUGCUUUUAUAAGCGAGAAAUAUGAUGGUAACUUAUGAAUAAGGAUCGGCUAACUACGUUCCAGCAGCCGCGGUCAUACGUAGGAUCCGAGCAUUAUCCGGAGUGGCUGGGUGUAAAAAGUUGCGUAGGUGGCAUAAUAAGUAGCUAGUGAAAUCUGGUGGCUCAAACAUUCAGAUUAUUAGCUAAACUGUUAGGCUCGAGACCGUUAGGGGUAACUGGAAUGUGUAGUGUAGGAGUGAAAUCCGUAGAUAUUAGAAAGAACACCGAUAGCGUAGGCAGGUUACUAGGACGGUUCUGACACUGAGGCACGAAAGCGUAGGGAGCAAACGGGAUUAGAUACCCCAGUAGUC
Molecule: ribosomal RNA, 442 nt
Filed under: uncultured bacterium
Lineage: Bacteria
Description: partial 16S ribosomal RNA
Rfam family: Bacterial small subunit ribosomal RNA
Source: RNAcentral